GACCACCACCACAACCACAACCACAACCACGACCAUGACAACGACAACGACAACGACAACGACAACAACAACCACAACAACAACAACAACAACAACAACAACAACAACAACAACAACAACGACAACAACAACAACCACAACAACCACAACCACAACAACAACAACAACAACAACAACCACCACCACAACAACAACAACCACAACCACGACCACGACCACGACAACGACAACAACAAAAACCACAACAACCACAACCACAACAACAACAACAACAACAACCACAACCACAAUCACGACCACGACCACGACCACAACGACAACCACACGACCACGACCAGGACCACGACAACGACCACGACCACAACAAUAACCACCACCACCACAACAAUAACAACAACCACAACAACC
This 408-nucleotide long non-coding RNA is filed under the name Hordeum vulgare. Its description in RNAcentral is "long non-coding RNA (HVUL_LNC003710)". The record is from RNAcentral. Lineage: Eukaryota; Viridiplantae; Streptophyta; Magnoliopsida; Poales; Poaceae.